RNAcentral lists this ribosomal RNA (230 nucleotides) under uncultured bacterium. Its description in RNAcentral is "partial 16S ribosomal RNA". It matches the Rfam family "Bacterial small subunit ribosomal RNA", at positions 15 to 234 of the family's 1533-position model. The record is from RNAcentral.
GAUCAUGGCUCAGGAUGAACGCUAGCUACAGGCUUAACACAUGCAAGUCGAGGGGCAGCAUGGUCUUAGCUUGCUAAGGCCGAUGGCGACCGGCGCACGGGUGGGUAACACGUAUCCAACCUGCCGUCUACUCUUGGACAGCCUUCUGAAAGGAAGAUUAAUACAAGAUGGCAUCAUGAGUCCGCAUGUUCACAUGAUUAAAAGGGUAUUCCGGUAGACGAUGGGGAUGG